AACGAACGCUGGCGGCAUGCCUAACACAUGCAAGUCGAACGAAGCAGCAAUGCUUAGUGGCAGACGGGUGAGUAACGCGUAGAUAAUGUGCCCUCUUGCGGGGGAUACCGUUUCGAAAGGAACGUUAAUACCGCAUAAAGUCCUUAGGAGGCAUCUCUUAGGGAUCAAACUUCCGGGGCGGGAGGAGCAAUCUGCGUACUAUCAGCUAGUUGGUGAGGUAAUGGCUCACCAAGGCUACGACGGUUAACUGGUCUGAGAGGAUGAUCAGUCACACUGGAACUGAGACACGGUCCAGACUCCUACGGGAGGCAGCAGUGAGGAAUAUUGCACAAUGGGCGAAAGCCUGAUGCAGCGACGCCGCGUGGAGGAUGAAGGAUUUCGGUCUGUAAACUCCUGUCAGUAGGGAAGAGAAUGGACGGUACCUACUGAGGAAGCUUCGGCUAACUACGUGCCAGCAGCCGCGGUAAU
RNAcentral lists this ribosomal RNA (468 nucleotides) under uncultured bacterium. RNAcentral describes it as "bacterial SSU rRNA". It matches the Rfam family "Bacterial small subunit ribosomal RNA", at positions 29 to 524 of the family's 1533-position model. The record is from RNAcentral.